RNAcentral lists this ribosomal RNA (416 nucleotides) under Leptotrichia sp. oral taxon 213. Its description in RNAcentral is "bacterial SSU rRNA". It matches the Rfam family "Bacterial small subunit ribosomal RNA", at positions 28 to 446 of the family's 1533-position model. The record is from RNAcentral. Lineage: Bacteria; Fusobacteriati; Fusobacteriota; Fusobacteriia; Fusobacteriales; Leptotrichiaceae.
GAUGAACGCUGACAGAAUGCUUAACACAUGCAAGUCAUUGGCGAAGCUGCGCUUGCGCAGUCUAGCCAAGGCGGACGGGUGAGUAACGCGUAAGGAACUUGCCCUGCAGACAGGGAUAACAGACGGAAACGACUGAUAACACCUGGUGUUGUCAGGCUGGCGCAUGCCGGACUGAUGAAAGGAGACGCUGCAGGAGAGCCUUGCGUCCUAUUAGCUAGUUGGUGGGGUAACGGCCCACCAAGGCGAUGAUAGGUAGCCGGCCUGAGAGGGUGAACGGCCACAAGGGGACUGAGAUACGGCCCUUACUCCUACGGGAGGCAGCAGUGGGGAAUAUUGGACAAUGGGGGCAACCCUGAUCCAGCAAUUCUGUGUGCACGAAGAAGGUUUUCGGAUUGUAAAGUGCUUUCAGCAGGGAA